This 74-nucleotide transfer RNA is filed under the name Candidatus Bathyarchaeota archaeon. RNAcentral's name for it is "tRNA-Gly". It matches the Rfam family "tRNA". From Rfam's summary of the family: Transfer RNA (tRNA) molecules are approximately 80 nucleotides in length. Their secondary structure includes four short double-helical elements and three loops (D, anti-codon, and T loops). The record is from RNAcentral. Lineage: Archaea; Thermoproteati; Candidatus Bathyarchaeota.
GCGGUAUUGGUCUACCGGCAUGAUAUGACCUUGCCAAGGUUGAGGAAGGGGUUCGAUUCCCCUAUACCGCACCA